This is a long non-coding RNA of Carya illinoinensis, 779 nucleotides long. RefSeq lists it as uncharacterized. The transcript has 2 exons. Lineage: Eukaryota; Viridiplantae; Streptophyta; Magnoliopsida; Fagales; Juglandaceae. The record is from RefSeq and is a predicted model, not a curated record.
CUCAUCUAGAUGUAUAUAUUUCACCAGUGAGUCAAAGGUCCUCGUGUCAGUUGUAGCAGAUGCACAUAAAGGAUGCAAACCUCCGACGUACGCUUCUCUCUAGAUAUUUUUUUUUUCUUUUCUUUUUUUUACUAUCUCUAUAAAAUCUGGUCGGGACCUCACCGCAUGACAAACAAGCUACAUGGGUAUGAAACCCAGAAUAUCAUCAUCACUUGCCUCUAGGGCCGGACAAGAUGGUUUCUCUGAGGUGACAGUUCAAGCUGAGAUUGGAACACGAUCAGAUCGACGAUCAUGGAGUACGGGUGAGUGGAUUCCAUGCCAUGUUUGUCGAAUAAGCAGUCUUUUUGCCGAUUAAUCUUUGCUUCUGUCUGUUCGACCUUGAGUACUUGUGGUUUUGCUAAGCUGGUUGGAGUCAUGCAUGAAAAAUGAAAAAAAAAAAAAAAAAAAACACCCUAAUUGAAAUUGCUUUUUGCACCAGUAUUUAAUUACCUGCCGGAAGCAAACCACAGUGCUUUUAAUUAGUUUCCUUGCCGAUGAAUUUCCCAUAAAUUUGAAGUGAUAGGAGUGAACCAGAAAAUCUAUUAUAGUAUAUAUGAUCAAUACCAUACGACUUUUCGUUAAUUAGGCCGGUCACUUUUCUCUCUCGCGCAAAAAGUAUUUGCUCUCUCUCUCUCUCUCUGCUUUCUGAGUUACUUAAUUAUGGUCAUCCUUGAUUAUGUACGGGCAUGAGCCUGACUUAAGAAUUCUUAUAUGCAAGUAUGGAGCUAGCUUGCGCUGUA